Long non-coding RNA from Ficedula albicollis (Collared flycatcher), 2225 nucleotides. NCBI's taxonomy places the organism in Eukaryota, Metazoa, Chordata, Aves, Passeriformes, Muscicapidae. The record is from Ensembl.
AUGGGGUUUAUUAUCAGGAAUCAUGGAGCAACGCUGAGAUUUGGGGGUGAAAAGGAGCUUUGAGCAGAAGGCAGGCAGAGGAGUGUAGGGAGAGACCAGCCCAUUGUAUAGAGAUGUUCCUCCUGUUGGGGUUUUGGGUAUUAUUUCUUUUUCUUUUUUAUUUUAAUUUUAUUUUCCCUUUUAUUUUCUUUUUGGUUUUUGUUUGUUUGGUUUUUUUUUUUAAUUCUACUUUAGAUCUGCAAGCUUGUGCACUGUGGGUGCGUGACUAUUUUAGUGUGAACCGUGUUUUUUGUCAUAGUAUUGAAAUAAUAAAAGCUUCAACAUAGUUUGGAUGUGGAAGGUGUAGCGCUAGUUCAGAUUUGAGAAACGAACAGACAAAAAAAAAUAAAUAUUCAGGAAUUAAAAUAAUUUAAAAAAGAGAAAGAGAACAACUCUUACAAAGAGCAGAAGCCUUUAAAUGAGAAGAGCAGCCCGAGGUGGCUGUGAAGGAUGAGGGGUGUGGGGCUGUGUCCGUGCAUUCCUUGGGAACGUGCAGGUGUUCCGUGGCAUCACUCCGUGUCCAGCUGUGAGAAACAAUGGCCUUGUCGUUUGCUGACUGUGGGGUUUCUUGCAUUUUGUUUUCCUCAGCUCCUGGGGUGCACGGGGAGGGCGGUGGGGCUGCAGGCUGAGGCUCCCCUGCCCGUCCUGGGGGGGUUUGGGGCAGGAUGGGGCUUUGUGCCCGAACCCGGCACUUUGAGCAGCGCCCCCGAGCUCUGGGCACCUCAGGCUCCUGGUCCCCUUUGUUUUCCCCGAGGAAAUGAAUCCAUCCAAGGCAGCUGUGGCUCUGUGUGUCCAUCCCCGGGUUGGUGGCACUGCUGUGGCCAUUCCUUGUGUCCAUCCCUGGGUUGGUGGCACUGCCCUGGCUCUGUGUGUCCAUCCCAGGUCGGUGACACUGCUGUGGCCAUUCCUUGUGUCCAUCCCUGGGUUGGUGACACUGCCCUGGCUCUGUGUGUCCAUCCCUGGGUUGGUGGCCCUGCUGUGGCCAUUCCUUGUGUCCAUCCCUGGGUUGGUGGCACUGCCCUGGCUCUGUGUGUCCAUCCCAGGUCAGUGGCCCUGCCGUGGCUCUGUGUGUCCAUCCCAGGUCGGUGGCCCUGCUGUGGCUGUUCCAGUUUUCUGUCCCAAGGGUUGGUAGCCCUGCCGUGGCCAUUCCUUGUGUCCAUCCCUGGGUUGGUGGCCCUGCCCUGGCUCUGUGUGUCCAUCCCAGGGUCGGUGGCCCUGCUGUGGCCAUUCCAUGUGUCCAUCCCCGGGUCGGUGGCCCUGCUGUGGCCAUUCCAUGUGUCCAUCCCCGGGUCGGUGGCCCUGCUGUGGCCAUUCCAUGUGUCCAUCCCCGGGUCGGUGGCCCUGCUGUGGCCAUUCCAUGUGUCCAUCCCCGGGUCGGUGGCCCUGCUGUGGCCAUUCCAUGUGUCCAUCCCCGGGUCGGUGGCCCUGCUGUGGCCAUUCCUUGUGUCCAUCCCAGGUCAGUGGCCCUGCCCUGGCUCUGUGUGGCCCUGCCAUGCCCCCGUGCCCGUCCCCAGUGCCACAGGAGCUGCCAUCUCGUGCUGCACCAUUCGUACCGGUGACAAUUGUGCAUCACCCCGUCGGCUUCCCGAGUGCUUUUCUGUUCACACUUUUCUAUGGAGCCUUCAAACCCCACGUUUUUCACCACCAGGCUGUUUUGAUAGUUGUUCUCAGCCCCUCCAUGGCCAUCCUUCCCCAGCAUUCCCUACUUUUGGGGGCCUUCUAUCUUGUUAAAAAAACAAAAAAACAAAAAAUCUUUUUACCGAGUGAAACAUCGACUCCACCUUUAUCCCCAUUCUCACUGGUGUAAAUACUGAUACUAACUGAGGAUUUUGACUUUGCAUUCUGUCAGAAUACUGUGUUCAAAUAAAAACUAAAAAAAAAAAAAAAAAAAAAAAAAAAAAAAAAAAAAAAAAAAAAAAAAAAAAAAAAGCUGAUGCCUGCAGUCUGCCCUUCUUUAGCUGCUCUCAUCCCAACUGAGUGGCACUAAAAGCCCUUUCAUGUUUCUUUCUUUGUCCCUCUAUAUUUAUUUACUUAUUUCCUGGAGAUAGAAAGCACAAAAAUGCAGUUUCACAGCUACUGUGAAACUUUCCCCCCCCCUAAAAAAGGCACUUUUUUGUUGCCUGUGUGUGGGAAGUGGGGCUGGAGUGUUGGGUUUGAGAGGUGACCUCUGCCCAGCCUGAACUGAG